This is a long non-coding RNA of Polyodon spathula (Mississippi paddlefish), 264 nucleotides long. RefSeq lists it as uncharacterized. The record is from RefSeq and is a predicted model, not a curated record. The transcript has 3 exons. Lineage: Eukaryota; Metazoa; Chordata; Actinopteri; Acipenseriformes; Polyodontidae.
AGAUGACAUUUAUAUUCAAAGUCGUUACUGGACAGUUUGCAAAAAUGACUUGCAAAUUUAAGUUAAUAGUGCUGUUUUUUGCACUUGGAGACGUGCUGCUGGUUUCCACAGAGCCACUCCGUGCAGCAAUACUUCAAAUAGUGAAAACAUCUACAGUGGAAGGGGAGAAGGUUGCAUUCAAAUGUGUGAUAUCAGCUGAGCACGGAGAACAAGCAGAGAACAAGGAGAGGAAUUGGUUCCAUUUAUAUAAAAACAGAGAGAAGA